ACGCCUGCCCGGUGCUGGAAGGUUAAGGGGAUCUGUUAGAGCAAUCGAAGCAGUGAACUUAAGCCCCAGUAAACGGCGGCCGUAACUAUAACGGUCCUAAGGGAGCGAAAUUCCUUGUCGGGUAAGUUCCGACCCGCACGAAAGGCGUAACGAUUUGGGCACUGUCUCAACAACAGACUCGGUGAAAUUGUAAUUCCGGUGAAGAUGCCGGAUACCUGCGACAGGACGGAAAGACCCCAUGGAGCUUUACUGUAGCUUGACAUUGGGUCUUGGUACUAC
This 279-nucleotide ribosomal RNA is filed under the name Clostridioides difficile. RNAcentral's name for it is "partial 23S ribosomal RNA". It matches the Rfam family "Bacterial large subunit ribosomal RNA", at positions 1855 to 2133 of the family's 2925-position model. The record is from RNAcentral. Lineage: Bacteria; Bacillati; Bacillota; Clostridia; Peptostreptococcales; Peptostreptococcaceae.